Molecule: ribosomal RNA, 522 nt
Filed under: Mithrax pleuracanthus
Lineage: Eukaryota; Metazoa; Arthropoda; Malacostraca; Decapoda; Mithracidae
Description: partial 16S ribosomal RNA
Rfam family: Bacterial large subunit ribosomal RNA
Source: RNAcentral
GUCUACAUUAGGGAUAUAUGUAGUCUGGCCUGCUCACUGAGAUAUAAUAGACUUUAAGAGCCGCGGUAUUCUGACCGUGCAAAGGUAGCAUAAUCAUUAGUUUUUUAAUUGGAAACUUGUAUGAAUGGUUAGACAAAAGAAAUACUGUCUCUAUUUUUAAAACUUGAAUUUAACUUUUAAGUGAAAAGGCUUAAAUCUUUCAGGGGGACGAUAAGACCCUAUAAAGCUUUAUAAAUAACUAGAUAUUUUUUAGAAUAUAGAAUAAAAAAAAAUUCUUAGGGGUUUAUUAUGUUGGGGCGACACAGAUAUAAUUAAAAGCAACUAUCAGAAAAUAAAACAAUAAUUUUUGAAUUUUAUGAUCCUAAUUAAAGAUUACAAGACUAAGUUACUUUAGGGAUAACAGCGUUAUUCUUUUUGAGAGUUCUUAUCGAAAAAAGAGCUUGCGACCUCGAUGUUGAAUCAAAAAAUCUUUAUAAUGCAGCAGUUAUAAGAGAAGGUCUGUUCGACCUUUAAAAUUUUACG